AUAAGAUACAGCCAUUUUUAUUUGAAGCGUUGUGCCAUAAAGGUGGGCCUUGAGGCCACAUAACAUUGCGCCUUAAUUUCCAAAAAAAGGUGAAAUCUGUAACCAUACCUCGGAGGUGUGACCUAAACAUCGCCUUUCCCAUGAUCAAGUUUCUUUGAACUUAAAGUUUCCAAAUAAGUUUUCAGAAUAUUUGUGUAUCUCAUUAUUACAACACACGUCCAUGGAUUCUACCUUGUUGAGAGCAAAAGAUUCGUCUUCCCACCUUAUCAAAUCAGGCGAUCCUUCUUUCGGUGCUAUCGUUAACUCCAAGCUGUCAGUUACAAACGCCAAUCAAUUAAAGUUUACUCGCCCCGCAAGGCCCGUGCAAGUCCACAAGUCACACAGCGUUAUCUAUAGCUCUAAAUGUCCUGACGAAAAAACAUUCGAUAAUACAAGCGAUAGUGAUAAUGUACCUUGGGAUAAAAUCUGCUCAUACUGUAACGUAUGUUGGCGUAGUGGAGAACAACUUUACUUUCGCCGGAGUUCUGCUGUGCGUCAUUUGCUUUCCUUUCGGUUUCUCGUGGCUCUUUUGCAUGAUGGAAUCGCAAUGCCCUCACUGCGGGAAAAUUUAUCUGUGAAACUCCCGCAGGAAAAUUUUUCUCUUUUCUCUCAUUAGAGCUUCACUUGACUGAACAUUUGUAAACGUGAAUUAUGUGAUGCAUGUUUGAAAAUCUUUACGAGGUAAAUAAUCAAGUUUAAGUUUAGAGAAUGAUAAAAGUUGAUGCAAAAUAAUUGAUUUUGAUCUAAUACACUAAUACAGUGGAUAGGCUGUAAAUUGAAUAUACACAGAACCGUCUCACGUGUCACAGCCAACAAAUUACGGUGGACGGUAACAUCAAACAAAUGUCCGAUAAAAGAAAUGCGCACACGAAAAUACAGUUUAUCAGUUGAUCGCAAUAGAUCACGAAAGAAUAAGGUUCGACAAGGUUUAACGAAAAUAAUAAGCCAUAUGCUCAUGUCUAUCAUAAAAUGACCUUUUCAAUUUCCAUAGCAACAAAAAGAUAAGGCCUAAGAAGGGAGUUAACGAUGUUAACGUAUAAAGUAUAUAUAUCUCGUUCUGUAACUUGUUUCAGUAUUCUUGCUCUUAUUUCAACUGAAUAUUGAAUUCCUGGACAAUAGGAAAGUAGUAAACAAUGGAACACGGAAAAGAAAAUCCUCCGUCAUACUCACAAGCUCCAGCAGCACCGUAUCCGGCAGCCCCAGCACAGUAUCCACCAGCCCCUCCGCACCCAUCGAAUGCCCAUACAUAUCCCCCGAAUAACAGUGGGCAAACUGUUAUCCAAGUUGAAGCUCAACCGCAAGUGAUCAUCGUCGGAGGCUGUCCAAAAUGCAGAGUUGGUGUUUUGAAAGACAAAUUCACCCUUUGCGGCUGGUGCUGGUUAAUCUGGUGUUUCCCAUGCGGUCUAAUUUGUUUUUUCAACAUGAGGCAAAAGAGAUGCAUCCAUUGCCAUCAAAGAUUUUGAGCUUAUUGGCAAAAAGGAACCGUACCCGCGACUCUGAAUAGCGUCCGCUACUACGUACGUUUCGACUGAAGAAACAACAAGCUCAACUUGGAUCUAUUUCCCUUUUCCUUGGUUGAGCGAACUUGUCAAUUUAAUCGAAAAUAAACAAAAUUUACAAAUU
This is an RNA transcript of Daphnia pulicaria, 1662 nucleotides long. It is a transcript of the gene named brain protein I3-like, with no coding region annotated. NCBI's taxonomy places the organism in Eukaryota, Metazoa, Arthropoda, Branchiopoda, Diplostraca, Daphniidae. The transcript is spliced from 7 exons. The record is from RefSeq and is a predicted model, not a curated record.